This is a long non-coding RNA of Xiphophorus couchianus (Monterrey platyfish), 1388 nucleotides long. RefSeq lists it as uncharacterized. The transcript is spliced from 2 exons. Lineage: Eukaryota; Metazoa; Chordata; Actinopteri; Cyprinodontiformes; Poeciliidae. The record is from RefSeq and is a predicted model, not a curated record.
ACUACUGUACAUCAGACAAUAUAUAUGCAUUAUGUUUUGCUAAAUAAAGUAUGUUUGAAACAAUGCUGGAGUGAUUGGUUAUACUUUAAUCCAAGAUUCAAGACCUUGGAAUGCGUUGCCAGGGAAAAAAUGAAAAGAGAGGAGCAACUAAACCAGUUCCUGCAGAGGAGCGGCUGAUGCUGCAGGACAAGUUGUUCUGCGGCUCAUUCAUGUGACUCUUCAAAACAAAAUUCAUGUUCAGUCAUGCUAUAAUCUCUAAUUUUCACUUUGCAAACUUGCCUUUGGUUUCAUUUUAUGCAGCCUGCACACUAAUUGCACUGACAGAUGAACACACCCAAAGACUGAGGGUGUGUUUUAAUGACUGCAGGAUGAUUACAACAUGUCUACCUCCAGGUUUUCAGUUCAAAAACAUCACAAAAACAUCUGUGGAUAAGCCUUCAAAUUAGCCAUAACAAAAAGCAAAGACGUGUCAAGAUAUGGUGGAUACAAAAUCUACACCUUAAAUAACCAAACUUGUGAAAAGCCUUUCCCCUCCUUGCCUUUAGGGGCGCUACACCAAAAGCUCCUAAAGGAAAUAACACCAGAAUCUCAGAAGAAGACUUCCUUCUGCACAUAAUGUAAACAAAAAUGGAGUGGUCUCAGAUUUUAGUGGUAGUAGGAUUUCUUUUGUAGUCGGUAAAAAACCAUGAACUAUUUCUCCGACUAGCACUAGACUAAUUAGUUUGCUUUGAUUGUAUUUACCCAGAAUGCCCUGUGCUAUAGUCCGCUUCCUGCUUUUGGAGCGGUCUCCAAUCCGCUUUGCAAACAUGUGCAUUCAAACCACACCAGAGUUCACUUCGAUUAAGUGUAACCAACGCAAAAAAUAAUCAACCCAUGUUUUAUUUUGGCGGGUCAAACUGACAACACACUUUAGGUUCCGGGUCAGAGGUGAACUCGAAUCUCCUCCAUUGCUGUUGCUGCUGUCGGUGUGGCUAGCUGCUUGUGCUUGGCGUCUUCCAAAAUCGUUGAAGAAUGUUGUUGAAUCGAGCCAAAUUAACACAGCCGAAGGAUUAAAUUGUUUGUUUCCUGGCAACCACUCGACGGUCAGGGUUUUUUUCCCCACCCCCUGUUUCAACCCAAAAUGGCGAGCUACUGGAUCACCGCAGCUUUGCGGUAGGACUUUAUUGAACCAAACUACUUUCCUUUUCCGGACCUAUUGCCUUGGAUCAUGGACUAAAAACAUUUGGAUUAUUGAUUGAUGGACCAUUAAUCAUCCUGCAUAGGACAGAGAAUGGACUUAGAAUAAGAAAAAAACUCUAGCGUUACAUAAGCCUGUCACAAUAACAAAUUUUUCUGGACCAUAGAUUGUCCCAGAAAUUAUUGCAAUAAAUGAUAAUGUUGUUUUGGAA